Long non-coding RNA from Magallana angulata, 429 nucleotides. RefSeq lists it as uncharacterized. The transcript has 2 exons. The record is from RefSeq and is a predicted model, not a curated record. Lineage: Eukaryota; Metazoa; Mollusca; Bivalvia; Ostreida; Ostreidae.
GCUUCUUAUACAUCCUAACACUUGUUGCUCGCCAUGAAUCGCCAAACGUUUUUCGUUCUUUUGCUUGUUGCGGGGAUUUUGUUGACUAUCUCCGAAGUUGAAGGAAAACUCGGACAUUUCAGUAGCGUGCGAAAACCGUUAAGAAGAAAGAGAGAAAAUAAUGGUUUCCCUGAAAAUGGACGAUCCGGUCUUCGCGUUGGUCCAAAUAAAAAUAGCGGAAGAGAAAGUUCUAGAGACGGUAGCAGUGGUUCUGGGUGAUUUGCAAACAACGUAUUUUGACUGAAAGAAACUGAUUUGGACAUUUAUUCCUGAAACUAUUUUUUCCUUUCAAUCUUACUGUUGUGUGAAAUUUUGAAUUAUUCUUGAUUUGCUUUUACCCAUAUAACUCCUUUUUUCUCAUAAAUUAAUAAAGACAAUAUUCAGCUUUCA